Non-coding RNA from Caenorhabditis elegans, 66 nucleotides. Lineage: Eukaryota; Metazoa; Nematoda; Chromadorea; Rhabditida; Rhabditidae. The record is from Ensembl.
UAAAUUUAACAACAAAAAAUGACAUUAGAGAAAGUGUUUAGUUCAAAAUUAUGGGGAAACACGUAG